GACGAACGCUGGCGGUGUGCUUCACACAUGCAAGUCGAACGGGGUAGCAAUACCCAGUGGCGGACGGGUGAGUAACGCGUGGGAAUCUGCCUCGAGAUGGGGGAUAACUGACCGAAAGGUUAGCUAAUACCGCAUAUGCCGAAAGGUGAAAGGAGUAAUCCGUCUUGAGAUGAGCCUGCGUCCGAUUAGCUAGUUGGUAAGGUAAAGGCUUACCAAGGCUAUGAUCGGUAGCUGGUCUGAGAGGAUGAUCAGCCACAAUGGAACUGAGACACGGUCCAUACUCCUACGGGAGGCAGCAGUGGGAAUUUGUGCAAUGGGGGAAACCCUGACACAGCGACACCGCGUGAGCGAAGAAGCCCUUUGGGGUGUAAAGCUCUGUCAGCUGGAACGAAUAAAUGACGGUACCAGCAGAGGAAGCAUCGGCUAACUACGUGCCAGCAGCCGCGGUAA
RNAcentral lists this ribosomal RNA (450 nucleotides) under uncultured bacterium. Its description in RNAcentral is "bacterial SSU rRNA". It matches the Rfam family "Bacterial small subunit ribosomal RNA", at positions 28 to 523 of the family's 1533-position model. The record is from RNAcentral.